CCACUACCGAUUCUCCAGAACUGGUCAGAACCUGCCGAAUACCCACCUCUGAUAUCCUCCUCCCUAGGGUUUUCUAUCCAUGCCUUUGGAAGCGGAGUUUACCCUGGAUUUGGCUGCUGCCCCAGAAGCCACGUCAAACAGCCAUAAAAGUGGUUGGUUGGUUGAUUAGUAGUCUAUGGAGAUUGAUUCUCAGCCACCCCGGUCAUGAUUGUCCCAAUGGUGCUUUUUUCAGGAGGCAACUGGACUUUCUGGGGUUGGUUUUUUUUUUUGAAGAUUGGUUUAAUGAAUUGGUUUGAUUGGUUAAUGCUUGUCGUGGUUAGCAGAGAUGUAACAGCCAAGUUAUUUUUAUAUUCGCUGUGUCCAUCCAGGCGCUUCCAGCAUGUCCGAUCCAAGCCACCUGUGAAGCUGCCUCCAAAGAAGAAAACAAAGAGAAGAACAGAUACGUCAACAUUUUGCCUUAUGACCAUUCCAGAGUCCACCUGACACCCAUUGAAGGGGUUCCAGACUCCGACUAUAUCAACGCCUCGUUCAUUAAUGGGUAUCAGGAGAAGAACAGGUUCAUUGCUGCACAAGGUAAAUAAUAUGUAUUUCCUUUGAAUUUCUAUACUGCAAGAAAUACCCAUUCCGGCAUUCAGCCGGCUUCGACCGGCUCGCCCGAACCGGUAGCGGAAAUCGUGGGUGGGCCAGUGGU
This is a non-coding RNA of Thamnophis sirtalis, 691 nucleotides long. The record is from RefSeq and is a predicted model, not a curated record. NCBI's taxonomy places the organism in Eukaryota, Metazoa, Chordata, Lepidosauria, Squamata, Natricidae.